UACGUAGGGGGCAAGCGUUGUCCGGAAUCAUUGGGCGUAAAGAGCGUGUAGGCGGCCAGAUAAGUCCGCUGUGAAAUCUCGAGGCUCAACUUCGAGCUGUCGGUGGAAACUGUCUGGCUAGAGUCCGGAAGAGGAGAAUGGAAUUCCUGGUGUAGCGGUGAAAUGCGUAGAUAUCAGGAGGAACACCGGUGGCGAAGGCGGCUCACUGGCUCAUUACUGACGCUCAGGCGCGACAGCGUGGGGAUCAAACAGG
RNAcentral lists this ribosomal RNA (253 nucleotides) under uncultured bacterium. Its description in RNAcentral is "partial 16S ribosomal RNA". It matches the Rfam family "Bacterial small subunit ribosomal RNA", at positions 524 to 776 of the family's 1533-position model. The record is from RNAcentral.